CAACAGGGAUUGCCUUAGUAACUGCGAGUGAAGCGGCAAAAGCUCAAAUUUGAAAUCUGGCGUCUUUGGCGUCCGAGUUGUAAUUUGGAGGGAUAUCUUCGGAGAUGGCACCGUCCUAAGUUCCUUGGAACAGGACGUCAUAGAGGGUGAGAAUCCCGUGCCUGGAUGGAUGUCCAUCUCCAUGUGAAGUGUCUCCGACGAGUCGAGUUGUUUGGGAAUGCAGCUCAAAAUGGGUGGUAAAUUUCAUCUAAAGCUAAAUAUUGGCGAGAGACCGAUAGCGCACAAGUAGAGUGAUCGAAAGAUGAAAAGCACUUUGAAAAGAGAGUUAAAAAGUACGUG
This 339-nucleotide ribosomal RNA is filed under the name Wilcoxina alaskana. Its description in RNAcentral is "eukaryotic LSU rRNA". It matches the Rfam family "Eukaryotic large subunit ribosomal RNA", at positions 66 to 401 of the family's 3401-position model. Lineage: Eukaryota; Fungi; Ascomycota; Pezizomycetes; Pezizales; Pyronemataceae. The record is from RNAcentral.